UACAGAGGGUGCAAGCGUUAAUCGGAAUUACUGGGCGUAAAGCGCACGUAGGUGGCGACGUAAGUCGGGUGUGAAAGCCCCGGGCUCAACCUGGGAAUUGCAUUCGAGACUGCAUUGCUGGAGUACGGAAGAUGAGGGCAGAAUUCCCGGUGUAGCGGUGAAAUGCGUAGAUAUCGGGAGGAACAUCAGUGGCGAAGGCGGCCCUCUGGUCCAGUACUGACACUCAAGUGCGAAAGCGUGGGGAGCAAACAGG
This 253-nucleotide ribosomal RNA is filed under the name uncultured bacterium. RNAcentral's name for it is "partial 16S ribosomal RNA". It matches the Rfam family "Bacterial small subunit ribosomal RNA", at positions 524 to 776 of the family's 1533-position model. The record is from RNAcentral.